This 381-nucleotide ribosomal RNA is filed under the name uncultured eukaryote. RNAcentral describes it as "partial 18S ribosomal RNA". It matches the Rfam family "Eukaryotic small subunit ribosomal RNA", at positions 592 to 975 of the family's 1831-position model. The record is from RNAcentral.
CAAUAGCGUAUAUUAAAGUUGUUGCAGUUAAAAAGCUCGUAGUUGGAUUUCUGGUUGGAGCGACCGGUCGGGCAUUGAUUUGUCUGCACUGGAGUCGGUUCUGGCCAUCCUCUUGGAAAGUGCGUCUGUCAUUAAGUUGUCGGGCGUAUGAUCCAGGUCUUUUACUGUGAAAAAAUUAGAGUGUUUAAAGCAGGCCUUCGCCUUGAAUACAUUAGCAUGGAAUAAUAAGAUAGGACUUUGGUCUAUUUUGUUGGUUUGCAGACCGAAGUAAUGAUUAAUAGGGAUAGUUGGGGGUAUUUAUAUUCCAAUGUCAGAGGUGAAAUUCUUAGAUUUUUGGAAGAUAAACUUAUGCGAANGNAUUUACNAAGGAUGUUUNCAUUA